AGUGAACGCUGGCGGUAGGCCUAAUACAUGCAAGUCGAACGGCAGCACAGUAAGAGCUUGCUCUUACGGGUGGCGAGUGGCGGACGGGUGAGGAAUACAUCGGAAUCUACUUUUUCGUGGGGGAUAACGUAGGGAAACUUACGCUAAUACCGCAUACGACCUACGGGUGAAAGCAGGGGAUCUUCGGACCUUGCGCGAUUGAAUGAGCCGAAGCCGGAUUAGCUAGUUGGCGGGGUAAAGGCCCACCAAGGCAACGCUCCGUAGCUGGUCUGAGAGGAUGAUCGGCCACACUGGAACUGAGACACGGUCCAGACUCCUACGGGAGGCAGCAGUGGGGAAUCUUGGACAAUGGGCGCAAGCCUGACCCAGCCAUACCGCGUGAGUGAAGAAGGCCUUCGGGUUGUAAAGCCCUUUUGUUGGGAAAGAACAGCUGCAUGUUAAAACCCCGCUGUUCUGACGGUACCCAAAGAAUAAGCACCGGCUAACUUCGUG
Molecule: ribosomal RNA, 492 nt
Filed under: uncultured bacterium
Lineage: Bacteria
Description: partial 16S ribosomal RNA
Rfam family: Bacterial small subunit ribosomal RNA
Source: RNAcentral